RNAcentral lists this ribosomal RNA (2887 nucleotides) under Acinetobacter baumannii. RNAcentral describes it as "partial 23S ribosomal RNA". It matches the Rfam family "Bacterial large subunit ribosomal RNA". The record is from RNAcentral. Lineage: Bacteria; Pseudomonadati; Pseudomonadota; Gammaproteobacteria; Moraxellales; Moraxellaceae.
GUAAUUAAGUGCAUGUGGUGGAUGCCUUGGCAGUCAGAGGCGAUGAAAGACGUGAUAGCCUGCGAAAAGCUCCGGGGAGGCGGCAAAUAUCCUUUGAUCCGGAGAUGUCUGAAUGGGGGAACCCACCUACUUUAAGGUAGGUAUUGCAACAUGAAUACAUAGUGUUGCAAGGCGAACGAGGGGAAGUGAAACAUCUCAGUACCCUUAGGAAAAGAAAUCAAUUGAGAUUCCCUCAGUAGCGGCGAGCGAACGGGGAUCAGCCCAUUAAGUUAUGUGUGUUUUAGUGGAACGCUCUGGGAAGUGCGAACGUAGAGGGUGAUAUUCCCGUACACGAAAGGGCACACAUAAUGAUGACGAGUAGGGCGAGGCACGUGAAACCUUGUCUGAAUAUGGGGGGACCAUCCUCCAAGGCUAAAUACUCCUGACUGACCGAUAGUGAACCAGUACCGUGAGGGAAAGGCGAAAAGAACCCCUGUGAGGGGAGUGAAAUAGAUCCUGAAACCGCAUGCAUACAAGCAGUGGGAGCACCUUCGUGGUGUGACUGCGUACCUUUUGUAUAAUGGGUCAGCGACUUAUAUUCAGUAGCGAGGUUAACCGUAUAGGGGAGCCGUAGAGAAAUCGAGUCUUAAUAGGGCGUUUAGUUGCUGGGUAUAGACCCGAAACCAGGCGAUCUAUCCAUGAGCAGGUUGAAGGUUGGGUAACACUAACUGGAGGACCGAACCCACUGUCGUUGAAAAGCCAGGGGAUGACUUGUGGAUAGGGGUGAAAGGCUAAUCAAGCCUGGUGAUAGCUGGUUCUCCCCGAAAGCUAUUUAGGUAGCGCCUCGGACGAAUACCAUAGGGGGUAGAGCACUGUUUCGGCUAGGGGGUCAUCCCGACUUACCAAACCGAUGCAAACUCCGAAUACCUAUGAGUACUAUCCGGGAGACAGACUGCGGGUGCUAACGUCCGUAGUCAAGAGGAAAACAAUCCAGACCGCCAGCUAAGGCCCCAAAAUCAUAGUUAAGUGGGAAACGAUGUGGGAAGGCAUAGACAGCUAGGAGGUUGGCUUAGAAGCAGCCACCCUUUAAAGAAAGCGUAAUAGCUCACUAGUCGAGUCGGCCUGCGCGGAAGAUGUAACGGGGCUAAAACUAUGUGCCGAAGCUGCGGAUGUAUACUUUGUAUACGUGGUAGGGGAGCGUUCUGUAAGCCGAUGAAGGUGUGUUGAGAAGCAUGCUGGAGGUAUCAGAAGUGCGAAUGCUGACGUGAGUAACGACAAAACGGGUGAAAAACCCGUUCGCCGAAAGACCAAGGGUUCCAGUCCAACGUUAAUCGGGGCUGGGUGAGUCGACCCCUAAGGCGAGGCCGAAAGGCGUAGUCGAUGGGAAAAUGGUUAAUAUUCCAUUACUUCUGUGUAAUGCGAUGAGAGGACGGAGAAGGCUAAAUCAGCCUGGCGUUGGUUGUCCAGGUGAAAGGAUGUAGGCAUGUAUCUUAGGCAAAUCCGGGGUACUCUAUGCUGAGAUCUGAUAGCAAGCUGUACUUGUACAGCGAAGUGGUUGAUGCCAUGCUUCCAGGAAAAGUCUCUAAGCUUCAGUUACACAGGAAUCGUACCCGAAACCGACACAGGUGGUCAGGUCGAGUAGACCAAGGCGCUUGAGAGAACUCUGCUGAAGGAACUAGGCAAAAUGGUACCGUAACUUCGGGAGAAGGUACGCUGUUGUUGGUGAUGGAACUUGCUUCCUGAGCUGACGACAGCCGCAGAAACCAGGCCGCUGCAACUGUUUAUUAAAAACAUAGCACUCUGCAAACACGAAAGUGGACGUAUAGGGUGUGAUGCCUGCCCGGUGCUGGAAGGUUAAUUGAUGGGGUUAGCGUAAGCGAAGCUCUUGAUCGAAGCCCCAGUAAACGGCGGCCGUAACUAUAACGGUCCUAAGGUAGCGAAAUUCCUUGUCGGGUAAGUUCCGACCUGCACGAAUGGCAUAAUGAUGGCGGCGCUGUCUCCAGCAGAGGCUCAGUGAAAUCGAAAUCGCUGUGAAGAUGCAGUGUACCCGCGGCUAGACGGAAAGACCCCGUGAACCUUUACUGCAGCUUGACACUGAACUUUGACCUUACUUGUGUAGGAUAGGUGGGAGGCUUUGAAGCUGGAACGCUAGUUCCAGUGGAGCCGUCCUUGAAAUACCACCCUGGUAAUGUUGAGGUUCUAACUCUGUCCCGUGAUCCGGGACGAGGACCGUGUCUGGUGGGUAGUUUGACUGGGGCGGUCUCCUCCUAAAGAGUAACGGAGGAGUACGAAGGUGCGCUCAGCGUGGUCGGAAAUCACGCGUAGAGUAUAAAGGCAAAAGCGCGCUUAACUGCGAGACCCACAAGUCGAGCAGGUACGAAAGUAGGUCUUAGUGAUCCGGUGGUUCUGUAUGGAAGGGCCAUCGCUCAACGGAUAAAAGGUACUCUGGGGAUAACAGGCUGAUACCGCCCAAGAGUUCAUAUCGACGGCGGUGUUUGGCACCUCGAUGUCGGCUCAUCUCAUCCUGGGGCUGAAGCAGGUCCCAAGGGUAUGGCUGUUCGCCAUUUAAAGAGGUACGCGAGCUGGGUUUAGAACGUCGUGAGACAGUUCGGUCCCUAUCUACCGUGGGCGCUGGAAAUUUGAGAGGAUCUGCUCCUAGUACGAGAGGACCAGAGUGGACGAACCUCUGGUGUACCGGUUGUGACGCCAGUCGCAUCGCCGGGUAGCUAUGUUCGGAAGGGAUAACCGCUGAAAGCAUCUAAGCGGGAAGCCUACCUCAAGAUAAGAUUUCCCUAGGACUUUAUGUCCUCUAAAGAGCCGUUCGAGACUAGGACGUUGAUAGGUUGGAUGUGGAAGCAUAGUGAUAUGUGAAGCUGACCAAUACUAAUUGCUCGUGAGGCUUGACUAU